GGCUUCGUAGCUCAGCUGGUAGAGCACUCGCUGCGUUGAGGCAUACUGUUUCUGUUGUUGGUUUGAAUCCAGCCGAAGCCC
Molecule: transfer RNA, 81 nt
Filed under: Paragonimus heterotremus
Lineage: Eukaryota; Metazoa; Platyhelminthes; Trematoda; Plagiorchiida; Troglotrematidae
Rfam family: tRNA
About the family: Transfer RNA (tRNA) molecules are approximately 80 nucleotides in length. Their secondary structure includes four short double-helical elements and three loops (D, anti-codon, and T loops). Further hydrogen bonds mediate the characteristic L-shaped molecular structure. tRNAs have two regions of fundamental functional importance: the anti-codon, which is responsible for specific mRNA codon recognition, and the 3' end, to which the tRNAs corresponding amino acid is attached (by aminoacyl-tRNA synthetases). tRNAs cope with the degeneracy of the genetic code in two manners: having more than one tRNA (with a specific anti-codon) for a particular amino acid; and 'wobble' base-pairing, i.e. permitting non-standard base-pairing at the 3rd anti-codon position.
Source: Rfam by way of RNAcentral